Molecule: ribosomal RNA, 541 nt
Filed under: uncultured Gallionellaceae bacterium
Lineage: Bacteria; Pseudomonadati; Pseudomonadota; Betaproteobacteria; Nitrosomonadales; Gallionellaceae
Description: bacterial SSU rRNA
Rfam family: Bacterial small subunit ribosomal RNA
Source: RNAcentral
AGUGGGGGAUAACGUAGCGAAAGUUACGCUAAUACCGCAUACGCCCUGAGGGGGAAAGGAGGGGAUUGUAAGACCUUUCGCUUUCGGAGUGGCCGAUAUCAGAUUAGCUAGUUGGUGGGGUAAAGGCCCACCAAGGCGACGAUCUGUAGCGGGUCUGAGAGGAUGAUCCGCCACACUGGGACUGAGACACGGCCCAGACUCCUACGGGAGGCAGCAGUGGGGAAUUUUGGACAAUGGGGGCAACCCUGAUCCAGCCAUGCCGCGUGAGUGAAGAAGGCCUUCGGGUUGUAAAGCUCUUUCGGACGGAAAGAAAUCCUAUUCGCUAAUACCGGGUGGGGAUGACGGUACCGUAAGAAGAAGCACCGGCUAACUACGUGCCAGCAGCCGCGGUAAUACGUAGGGUGCGAGCGUUAAUCGGAAUUACUGGGCGUAAAGCGUGCGCAGGCGGUUUUGUAAGACAGAUGUGAAAUCCCCGGGCUUAACCUGGGAACUGCAUUUGUGACUGCAAGGCUAGAGUGCGGCAGAGGGGGGUAGAAUUCCA